GCCCUUAGAGUUUGAUCCUGGCUCAGGAUGAACGCUGGUGGCGUGCUUAACACAUGCAAGUCGAACGAAGCACUUUUACGGAUUUCUUCGGAAUGAAGUUUUAGUGACUGAGUGGCGGACGGGUGAGUAACGCGUGGGUAACCUGCCUCACACAGGGGGAUAAUAGUUGGAAACGGCUGCUAAUACCGCAUAAGCGCACAGUACCGCAUGGUACAGUGUGAAAAACUCCGGUGGUGUGAGAUGGACUCGCGUCUGAUUAGCUAGUUGGCAGGGCAACGGCCUACCAAGGCGACGAUCAGUAGCCGACCUGAGAGGGUGACCGGCCACAUUGGGACUGAGACACGGCCCAAACUCCUACGGGAGGCAGCAGUGGGGAAUAUUGCACAAUGGGGGAAACCCUGAUGCAGCGACGCCGCGUGAGCGAAGAAGUAUUUCGGUAUGUAAAGCUCUAUCAGCAGGGAAGAAGAAAUGACGGUACCUGACUAAGAAGCACCGGCUAAUCUG
This 504-nucleotide ribosomal RNA is filed under the name uncultured bacterium. Its description in RNAcentral is "bacterial SSU rRNA". It matches the Rfam family "Bacterial small subunit ribosomal RNA", at positions 1 to 504 of the family's 1533-position model. The record is from RNAcentral.